AGUGAACGCUGGCGGUAGGCCUAACACAUGCAAGUCGAACGGCAGCACAGUAAGAGCUUGCUCUUACGGGUGGCGAGUGGCGGACGGGUGAGGAAUACAGCGGAAUCUACUUUUUCGUGGGGGAUAACGUAGGGAAACUUACGCUAAUACCGCAUACGACCUACGGGUGAAAGCAGGGGAUCUUCGGACCUUGCGCGAUUGAAUGAGCCGAUGUCGGAUUAGCUAGUUGGCGGGGUAAAGGCCCACCAAGGCGACGAUCCGUAGCUGGUCUGAGAGGAUGAUCAGCCACACUGGAACUGAGACACGGUCCAGACUCCUACGGGAGGCAGCAGUGGGGAAUAUUGGACAAUGGGCGCAAGCCUGAUCCAGCCAUACCGCGUGGGUGAAGAAGGCCUUCGGGUUGUAAAGCCCUUUUGUUGGGAAAGAAAAGAAGAAGGUUAAUACCCCGCUGUUCUGACGGUACCCAAAGAAUAAGCACCGGCUAACUUCGUG
RNAcentral lists this ribosomal RNA (492 nucleotides) under uncultured bacterium. Its description in RNAcentral is "partial 16S ribosomal RNA". It matches the Rfam family "Bacterial small subunit ribosomal RNA", at positions 29 to 507 of the family's 1533-position model. The record is from RNAcentral.